CCCUUAGAGUUUGAUCCUGGCUCAGGAUGAACGCUAGCUACAGGCUUAACACAUGCAAGUCGAGGGGCAGCAUGUUGGUUGCUUGCAACCGAUGAUGGCGACCGGCGCACGGGUGAGUAACGCGUAUCCAACCUACCCUUGUCCAUCGGAUAACCCGUCGAAAGGCGGCCUAACACGAUAUGCGGUUCACCGCAGGCAUCUAACGUGAACGAAAUGUGAAGGAGAAGGAUGGGGAUGCGUCUGAUUAGCUUGUUGGCGGGGUAACGGCCCACCAAGGCUACGAUCAGUAGGGGUUCUGAGAGGAAGGUCCCCCACAUUGGAACUGAGACACGGUCCAAACUCCUACGGGAGGCAGCAGUGAGGAAUAUUGGUCAAUGGACGAGAGUCUGAACCAGCCAAGUAGCGUGCAGGAUGACGGCCCUAUGGGUUGUAAACUGCUUUUAUAGGGGGAUAAAGUGUGCCACGUGUGGCAUAUUGCAGGUACCCUAUGAAUAAGGACCGGCUAAUUCCGUGCCAGCAGCCGCGGUAAUACGGAAGGUCCAGGCGUUAUCCGGAUUUAUUGGGUUUAAAGGGAGCGUAGGCCGUUUGGUAAGCGUGUUGUGAAAUGUCGGGGCUCAACCUGGGCAUUGCAGCGCGAACUGCCAGACUUGAGUGCGCAGGAAGUAGGCGGAAUUCGUCGUGUAGCGGUGAAAUGCUUAGAUAUGACGAAGAACUCCGAUUGCGAAGGCAGCCUGCUGUAGCGCAACUGACGCUGAAGCUCGAAAGCGUGGGUAUCGAACAGGAUUAGAUACCCUGGUAGUCCACGCGGUAAACGAUGGAUGCUCGCUGUUUGCGUCUGACGUAAGCGGCCAAGCGAAAGCGUUAAGCAUCCCACCUGGGGAGUACGCCGGCAACGGUGAAACUCAAAUGAAUUGACGG
RNAcentral lists this ribosomal RNA (918 nucleotides) under uncultured bacterium. Its description in RNAcentral is "bacterial SSU rRNA". It matches the Rfam family "Bacterial small subunit ribosomal RNA", at positions 1 to 916 of the family's 1533-position model. The record is from RNAcentral.